GAUCUUUUUUUCACUUCUCUCUCAACAUAUUGCAUCCUUCCCCACUAGAAAGGAAAAUUUCAAUUCAACAAACUUUUAUUCUCUAUUAGCUACUGCUGGGUCCUUUGCCUUUUGAAGAUAAGGAUGCUUUUUUCUUAAGGAUUUCUGUCCCCAGCACCUAGCACCUAGUAUUUCACCUCUUUUUCUUCAGAAUCAUAGCUCAAACCCGAUAAUCAAAAUUCUAUGCCUGUAAUCUCUGCUACUAUAGGUGAGACUGAGGCCAGCAGAUCUCUUGAGCACCAGAUUUCUAUGUUGCAGUGGGCUAAGCUAAUUGGGUAUCCACAUCGUGUUUGACACUAAUAUGGUGAGCUUCUUGGAGUGAAAGCUCACCAAGCUGCCUAAAGAUGGGAGAAUUGAAUUUUCUUUCUUCCCUUCUCUGAUUUUUUAUUUUCUUUUCACCUUUCCUUUCUCCUUCCCCUUUCUUUUUCUCUUCCCCUCAUUUCUUCUCCUUACUAUUUCUCUCCCCCCUUCAACUUCAAACAAUUCUUCAUUUCUUUCAUUUCCUCUCUCACUUCUGCCUCUAGGAGAUCCCAGUUUCCUUCCCUCUCAAGCACCAAGACAUCAGUGUACAUGCCCUAGCUUAUAGGUACAUCAUUAUUUGCAUGUUGGGUUCCAUUACAAUUUGAGUUCCUUCAGAGUCCUUGAGCUUGUAUCUAGCACAAAGAGAGCAACUUGACUGCCUAUUGGCUGACAUAGGAGCUAACAAAGAACCACUGGUGUUUCAGGGAUGGAGAAGAGAGUCAAUUUGAGGAGUACUCUAUGAAGGAGGCCCCCUUAAAGAUGCUUGCGACAGCCAGUGGAUAAAAAGUUGAAGAAACUGAGGCUGAAAGAGAAGAGGCUUGCUCAAGGUCCCACAGUGAAUCAGAGGUCAAAGAAAGGCCUAAAUCCCAGAGCUUCUGACACCCCGGCUAGGGGAUUUUCUAUUUUUUUCUCAAAUUUCUUGUGUUUCAUAAAACCAAAGCAAUUUCAAAGAGGAAUCACAGGAUGGCAGUCAUAUACCCUUGCUUUUCUUUCUGCCCUUUUUGUUGUGGUGACAACCACCCAGCUGCUUUUUGCCUAACAAUUCAAUAAAUAUUGAUUAAGAG
RNAcentral lists this long non-coding RNA (1124 nucleotides) under Monodelphis domestica (gray short-tailed opossum). Its description in RNAcentral is "lncRNA (ENSMODG00000049812.1)". Lineage: Eukaryota; Metazoa; Chordata; Mammalia; Didelphimorphia; Didelphidae. The record is from RNAcentral.